UAGGGAAUAUUGGUCAAUGGGCGGAAGCCUGAACCAGCCAUGCCGCGUGCAGGAAGAAGGCCCUCUGGGUUGUAAACUGCUUUUGACAGGGAACAAGUCGGCCAUGCGUGGCUAAGUGAGUGUACCUGUAGAAUAAGCCACGGCUAACUACGUGCCAGCAGCCGCGGUAAUACGUAGGUGGCAAGCGUUGUCCGGAUUUAUUGGGUUUAAAGGGUGCGUAGGCGGCCAUGUAAGUCAGUUGUGAAAUACCCCGGCUCAACCGGGGGGGUGCGAUUGAUACUGCGUGGCUUGAGUGGCAGCGAGGUUGGCGGAAUUGACGGUGUAGCGGUGAAAUGCAUAGAUAUCGUCAAGAACACCGAUAGCGAAGGCAGCCAACUAGGGGCCAACUGACGCUGAGGCACGAAAGUGCGGGGAUCAAACAGG
This 423-nucleotide ribosomal RNA is filed under the name uncultured Flammeovirgaceae bacterium. RNAcentral's name for it is "bacterial SSU rRNA". It matches the Rfam family "Bacterial small subunit ribosomal RNA", at positions 355 to 776 of the family's 1533-position model. The record is from RNAcentral. Lineage: Bacteria; Pseudomonadati; Bacteroidota; Cytophagia; Cytophagales; Flammeovirgaceae.